AAAUAUUAAUUAUCUGAACUCUCGAUAUUAGUAUCUUAAUAGUUUUUAUGUGUUUAAAAUGAUAAAUUGAUAUUUGCUUUUUAGUGAAAUAAAUAGUAAAUGGAGUUUUACAAGUGUCCGUAUGCUAAUGUGUUGUGAAAGUGAGUGAUAAAUGCGGAAAAAACGUGAAUUACUAUUGAAGUGGUUUGUUUACCAAAUAGUUGGCAACACUGUAAAUCGCCUUUGCGCAUUUUGACAACCAGUGUUCUUUUUACAUGACGCGAAUUAUAUGUUAUAAAUAAUUUUUCUCACUUUUCUAUGUAAAACUAUUUCGUAAUUUAAAACUUUUGUGCGCGAUAGUAUUUUCAUGCGACACGUGAUAAACACUCCCGU
This 372-nucleotide unclassified non-coding RNA is filed under the name Melitaea cinxia (Glanville fritillary). Its description in RNAcentral is "misc RNA ENSMCXG00005012231.1". Lineage: Eukaryota; Metazoa; Arthropoda; Insecta; Lepidoptera; Nymphalidae. The record is from RNAcentral.